This 119-nucleotide ribosomal RNA is filed under the name Pteropus alecto (black flying fox). The record is from RNAcentral. Lineage: Eukaryota; Metazoa; Chordata; Mammalia; Chiroptera; Pteropodidae.
GUCUACAACCAUGUCACCCUGAACGUGCCUGAUCUCAUCUGAUCUCGGAAGCUAAGCAGGUUCAGGCCUGUUUAGUACUUGGAUGGGAGACCACCUAGGAAUAUCAGGCGCUGUAAAGC